Molecule: long non-coding RNA, 669 nt
Organism: Oncorhynchus tshawytscha (Chinook salmon)
Lineage: Eukaryota; Metazoa; Chordata; Actinopteri; Salmoniformes; Salmonidae
Source: Ensembl
GUUCAUUGGACUAUAAUACCCAUUCCUCUUGAGACAGGGAGCGGUUUUUCACACUCAUCACUCAAGAAUGGUCCACCACGCAAAGGACAUACAGCCAACUUGACACAAUUAUGGGAAGCAUUGGAGUCGACAUGGGCCAGCAUCCCUGUGGAACGCUUUCGACACCUUGUAGAGUCCAUGCCCUGGCGAAUUAAGGCUGUUCUGAGGGAGGGUGCAACUCAAUAUUAGGACCUGAGCCCUAGGACCAUGCCCCAGGACUACCUGACAUGAUGACUCCUUGCUGUCCCCAGUCCACCUGGCCGUGCUGCUGCUCCAGUUUCAACUGUUCUGACUUAUUAUUAUUCGACCAUGCUGGUCAUUUAUGAACAUUUGAACAUCUUGGCCAUGUUCUGUUAUAAUCUCCACCCGGCACAGCCAGAAGAGGACUGGCCACCCCACAUAGCCUGGUUCCUCUCUAGGUUUCUUCCUAGGUUUUGGCCUUUCUAGGGAGUUUUUCCUAGCCACCGUGCUUCUACACCUGCAUUGCUUGCUGUUUGGGGUUUUAGGCUGGGUUUUUGUACAGCACUUUGAGAUAUCAGCUGAUGUACGAAGGGCUAUAUAAAUAAAUUUGAUUUGAUUUCCCCCCCCUCAUCAAUCUACACCUAAUACCCCAUAAUGACAAAGUGUCAU